This is a long non-coding RNA of Ipomoea triloba (trilobed morning glory), 1695 nucleotides long. RefSeq lists it as uncharacterized. NCBI's taxonomy places the organism in Eukaryota, Viridiplantae, Streptophyta, Magnoliopsida, Solanales, Convolvulaceae. The record is from RefSeq and is a predicted model, not a curated record. The transcript has 3 exons.
UCUGUUAUUCUGUUAUAACCACCGGCUUGGACUCCCGUCUCUCUUCCUUAUAGGCGACGGCGGUUGCUAGGCAGAGCGGCAGCGACGGGACGAACUUCUUGCGGCAUCCUCUGGUUUUCCGGCGUGGUCUUCUCCUCCGACCGAGGCGUAGCAGCCGCCGACCUCCUCACCCUCUCGUCUCUCUGUACCUCUCUCUCCAGCGUAGCGUGGGUUGUUUCUCCUUGAGCGACGAACGGAGCUACGGCAGUAGCGGAGGUGACGGCGGCGGCAGUGUCUUCCCCGGCGAAUCUUGGAACCGUAGCCUGACUGAGUACCUCACCCCGAUUCAACGAUCUCGGCUCACUCUGCUCACUGGACAGCCGUAGCUCCGGCAGCGACGGCAACGAUCUCGGCCCCGCAGCACACCGGCAGCGACCGCAACGGCAGACACGGCACGACUUCGGAGUGAACAGUGUUGGAUCUUCUGCGCAGCAACUUAAGUGUUUCUCUCUUUUGUCCUCCUCGUAGCAACAGAUUCUCUCCAUUCUCUGAGGUCAUCAUGUUGAGUUUUUGGUCAGAUCACCAAAAAGUCAUAGCGGAGAACAAAGAGCUGCACAAGGUGAAGGAAGAACUCCUUAAGGAGGUGAAGUAUCUUCAGGAGAAGCGAGAGCACCACGAAGGACUGGCGAAUGUGCUUGUGGCCCAUAAAGCAGAUGUGGAUGCUCUUGUGAUUAGCCAGCUGACAGAAAUCGAAAAACUUAAGCAGCUCCUCAAAAUACAAGAAGGCUAUCUUCAGCAGCAAAAGGAUACGUGGAAUGAACUGAAGGGCCUCCUUCAAAAGAGAAAUAAAGAAGUGGAUGAUGUGGUGGCCUUAGGCUUUUCUUGCCUACCAUCAUCAUCCACUGAUUAGGGUGAUUAGGUAUGAAGGGGUGUGACCUUCAUUUUUAUCAGUUUCUUCUUUCACUACUUGCAUUAAACUUUGUUGUUUUUUGUUGAAUGCAUGGAGAAGAAUAGAACCCCAGAAUCCAAAUAUCUUCUGAUUAGGGUGAUUAGGUAUGAAGGGGUGUGACCUUCAUUUUUAUCAGUUUCUUCUUUCACUACUUGCAUUAAACUUUGUUGUUUUUUGUUGAAUGCAUGGAGAAGAAUAGAACCCCAGAAUCCAAAUAUCUUCUGAUUAGGGUGAUUAGGUAUGAAGGGGUGUGACCUUCAUUUUUAUCAGUUUCUUCUUUCACUACUUGCAUUAAACUUUGUUGUUUUUUGUUGAAUGCAUGGAGAAGAAUAGAACCCCAGAAUCCAAAUAUCUUCUGAUUAGGGUGAUUAGGUAUGAAGGGGUGUGACCUUCAUUUUUAUCAGUUUCUUCUUUCACUACUUGCAUUAAACUUUGUUGUUUUUUGUUGAAUGCAUGGAGAAGAAUAGAACCCCAGAAUCCAAAUAUCUUCUGAUUAGGGUGAUUAGGUAUGAAGGGGUGUGACCUUCAUUUUUAUCAGUUUCUUCUUUCACUACUUGCAUUAAACUUUGUUGUUUUUUGUUGAAUGCAUGGAGAAGAAUAGAACCCCAGAAUCCAAAUAUCUUCUGAUUAGGGUGAUUAGGUAUGAAGGGGUGUGACCUUCAUUUUUAUCAGUUUCUUCUUUCACUACUUGCAUUAAACUUUGUUGUUUUUUGUUGAAUGCAUGGAGAAGAAUAGAACCCCAGAAUCCAAAUAUCUUCUAGCGUGAA